Molecule: ribosomal RNA, 464 nt
Filed under: uncultured bacterium
Lineage: Bacteria
Description: bacterial SSU rRNA
Rfam family: Bacterial small subunit ribosomal RNA
Source: RNAcentral
ACGAACGUUGGCGGCGUGCUUAAUACAUGCAAGUCGAGCGAGAAAACCGGGGCAACUCGGUGAGUACAGCGGCGGAAGGGUGCGUAAUACAUGGAUAACGUACCCCCCUGUUCGGGACAACCCUCCGAAAGGAGGGCUAAUACCGAAUGACGGCGGAAGGCGGCAUCGUUUUCCGUCCAAAGACGCGAGUCGCGGGGGGAGCGGUCCAUGGCCUAUCAGCUAGUUGGCGGGGUAACGGCCCACCAAGGCGAUGACGGGUAGCCGGACUGAGAGGUCGACCGGCCACACUGGGACUGAGACACGGCCCAGACACCUACGGGUGGCAGCAGUAGGGAAUAUUGCGCAAUGGGCGAAAGCCUGACGCAGCGACGCCGCGUGGGGGAUGAAGGCCUUCGGGUUGUAAACCCCUUUCAUGAGGGAAGAACACUGACCUAACCUCAAGAAGAAGCACCGGCUAACUCCGU